CAGAAAAGACCUGUUAGUACUUGGCAGCUAAAUUCCCUACAGAGUCUGGGCAACAAAUGUGCCCAUCCAUGCUGUGCCCCACCCAGGCUCUGCACCAGCCCCCACUGGCAAGUUUUCUGGGACACAAAUGCACGGGAGCCAAAUAACAACAGUCUUUUAAUGACAGUAAGGCAAAAUACAGGAACUGGGACAUUUCUAACAGGUUCUCUACCAGCUUCUGGUACCAGACCCUCAUGUGGAGUGAAGCUACAAAGCCUAUGGAAAUACAUGAGGUGAUUUUAUUCUGCUUAGAAAAAAAGGCAAAGUGAAAGGCAUCUCCUCCCUACCCAAAGGAGCAAGUCAGGGAGUGAAGCCUGUGGGUGAAGAUCAAGACUGAGGGAAAAAGGGAGGUCCCUAGAUGCCAUUCUGUGGUACCUCUGCUGCUUCAAAGAGCAGGUAAUGGAACACCGUCAUCCUUAAGCAUUGCUAGCAGACUGUCUUCAGACAAGGCGGCUUAGGACGUAUACAUCAAAGCUGCC
This is a long non-coding RNA of Gallus gallus (chicken), 518 nucleotides long. NCBI's taxonomy places the organism in Eukaryota, Metazoa, Chordata, Aves, Galliformes, Phasianidae. The record is from Ensembl.